This 497-nucleotide ribosomal RNA is filed under the name uncultured bacterium. Its description in RNAcentral is "partial 16S ribosomal RNA". It matches the Rfam family "Bacterial small subunit ribosomal RNA", at positions 28 to 507 of the family's 1533-position model. The record is from RNAcentral.
GAUGAACGCUGGCGGCGUGCCUAAUACAUGCAAGUCGAGCGAACAGAUGAGGAGCUUGCUCCUCUGACGUUAGCGGCGGACGGGUGAGUAACACGUGGAUAACCUACCUAUAAGACUGGGAUAACUUCGGGAAACCGGAGCUAAUACCGGAUAAUAUAUUGAACCGCAUUGUUCAAUAGUGAAAGACGGUUUUGCUGUCACUUAUAGAUGGAUCCGCGCCGCAUUAGCUAGUUGGUAAGGUAACGGCUUACCAAGGCAACGAUGCGUAGCCGACCUGAGAGGGUGAUCGGCCACACUGGAACUGAGACACGGUCCAGACUCCUACGGGAGGCAGCAGUAGGGAAUCUUCCGCAAUGGGCGAAAGCCGGACGGAGCAACGCCGCGUGAGUGAUGAAGGUCUUCGGAUCGUAAAACUCUGUUAUUAGGGAAGAACAAAUGUGUAAGUAACUAUGCACGUCUUGACGGUACCUAAUCAGAAAGCCACGGCUAACUACGUG